GGCGGGCUGCUCUGAUGGAAUGAAUUGAGUUUGAUUCGUAUGUUUGUUCGAAAGUGUCCUUAUCUGCAGCGCUUUCAAAAGAAAAAGGGGUCCGUGGUGAAGACGUCGCAGUCUCUGCAUGGCAGCACCUCUUUGGAGGCGGAGAACACUUUCGUCGUUGUUUCUACUAGCCUUGAUGCGAAUGUGUGUGCGGAGUAACUAACUGUUGAGGACUUCUCGAAUGCUUUGGGUUGACACACUUCAAGGAGGUUACGUCAAGAUAACAUCAUCUAUAAUACAGGUCGUUUGACUUAAAAGACGCACGUUACUUACGAUCCUUCCACGAGCAACGAAAAGUUCCGCAAGAUGAGAUUUCUCAAUUGACCUCGCUCGGUACGAAGGAAGAUAGAUACGCAUGAAAAAGGGCAUCAGUGUAAAAGACCCAUUGUACACUGCCUCACGUAAAGGCAUUCUCCUCAAUACAUCCGGCAAUGCUCUUGGCGCAAGACGAAACGCAAGUCAUCAUCACGAACCUGCAGACCUGCAUAUAUACUUCCGACGACCACACUAUAGCACACUUGCUUGUCUGUAUUUCUUACGAGCUCGCUGUUACCCAUGGUUAUGACCUAGGCGGUGCCUACCGCUGGCCUCGGCCUAGAUAGAUAAGCACCAAAAUACCUCUAGUACGUUAACUGGAUCCAAUAGCAGGCAUACAUCUUAUACUCUGCCACUCUGCUGCCCGCUCCUAGUUCCUUUCUUUUUCACGCUGCCUGACGUCUUGUUGUAGAACCACUCCUUUCACGCCGACAUCGAUCAGAUCUAAUCGGAUCGGAUCGAGCCCGCCGUAGCGCGAGAGGCAGAUGCUUACGGUAAGAAUCUAGGCUAAAACAGGUCCAGCAAACACCGCUCGCCGUCUCGCCUAGAUUCUCCAAUGACGAACAACGAACCAAAGUCAACGGAGCCAAGCAACGUUUGUGGCCGUCAGCGACAGCUGUGCCUACACGCAUCUAGCUAGCUACUAUACAUUGCAUGAAUGAGGUAAUUAAUAAAGAGAAAUUAAAUUUGCUUGCAAAUUGACACGUCUAGCUUGAGAGAUAGGUCGCUGUACACGAAUUUCUAGGGUAGUCCUUUUCGGUACAAGAAUAUUACAAAGAUAACAUAACUGGAAGCGUCUGCUGGUCGUU
Molecule: long non-coding RNA, 1163 nt
Organism: Varroa destructor (honeybee mite)
Lineage: Eukaryota; Metazoa; Arthropoda; Arachnida; Mesostigmata; Varroidae
Source: RefSeq, a predicted model, not a curated record